CCUACGGGGGGCAGCAGUGGGGGAUAUUGCACAAUGGGGGAAACCCUGAUGCAGUGACGCCGCGUGUGGGAAGACGGUCCUCUGGAUUGUAAACCACUGUCCCCAGGGACGAAGAUGACGGUACCUGGGGAGGACGCUCCGGCUAACUACGUGCCAGCAGCCGCGGUAAUACGUAGGGAGCGAGCGUUGUCCGGAAUUACUGGGUGUAAGGGGAGCGUAGGCGGGACUGCAAGUUGGGUGUCAAAUCUACCGGCUCAACCGGUAGCCGCACUCAAAACUGCAGUUCUUGAGUGAAGUGGAGGCAGGCGGAAUUCCUAGUGUAGCGGUGAAAUGCGUAGAUAUUAGGAGGAACACCAGUGGCGAAGGCGGCCUGCUGGGCUUUUACUGACGCUGAGGCUCGAAAGUGUGGGGAGCAAACAGGAUUAGAUACCCCAGUAGUC
Molecule: ribosomal RNA, 440 nt
Filed under: uncultured bacterium
Lineage: Bacteria
Description: partial 16S ribosomal RNA
Rfam family: Bacterial small subunit ribosomal RNA
Source: RNAcentral